RNAcentral lists this ribosomal RNA (904 nucleotides) under Paratrichaptum accuratum. Its description in RNAcentral is "partial 28S ribosomal RNA". It matches the Rfam family "Eukaryotic large subunit ribosomal RNA", at positions 73 to 964 of the family's 3401-position model. The record is from RNAcentral. Lineage: Eukaryota; Fungi; Basidiomycota; Agaricomycetes; Hymenochaetales; Schizoporaceae.
GAUUCCCUUAGUAACUGCGAGUGAAGAGGGAACAGCUCAAAUUUAAAAUCUGGCGGUGUUUGGCCGUCCGAGUUGUAGUUUGGAGAAGUGUUUUCGGUGCUGGACCGUGUAUAAGUCUCCUGGAAUGGAGCCUCAUAGAGGGUGAGAAUCCCGUCUUUGAUGCGGACUGCCAGUGCUAUGUGAUGCGCUCUCAACGAGUCGAGUUGUUUGGGAAUGCAGCUCAAAAUGGGUGGUAAAUUCCAUCUAAAGCUAAAUAUUGGCGAGAGACCGAUAGCGAACAAGUACCGUGAGGGAAAGAUGAAAAGCACUUUGGAAAGAGAGUGAAACAGUACGUGAAAUUGUUGAAAGGGAAACACUUGAAGUCAGUCUUGUCACCAGGGACUCAGCCUUGCAAUUUUUGGUUGUCUGGUGUAUUUCCCUGUGAGACGGGCCAGCAUCGAUUUUGUUCAUCGGAUAAAGGCCAGGGGAAUGUGGCACCCAUUGGGUGUGUUUAUAGCCCCUGGUUGUAUACGGUGGGUCGGGAUCGAGGUCUGCAGCCUUGUUGUUUUUUCUCUUGGCUUUAGGAUGCUGGCAUAAUGGCUUUAAAUGACCCGUCUUGAAACACGGACCAAGGAGUCUAACGUGCACGCGAGUGUUUGGGUGGAAAACCCUGGACGCGCAAUGAAAGUGAACAGUUGAGACCUCUGUUGUGGAGGGCAUCGACGCCCGGACUUGAUCCACGGUGACGGUUCCGCGGUGGAGCGUGUAUGUUGGGACCCGAAGAUGGUGAACUAUGCCUGAAUAGGGUGAAGCCAGAGGAAACUCUGGUGGAGGCUCGUAGCGAUUCUGACGUGCAAAUCGAUCGUCAAAUUUGGGUAUAGGGGCGAAAGACUAAUCGAACCAUCUAGUAGCUGGUUCCUGCCGA